RNAcentral lists this ribosomal RNA (1511 nucleotides) under uncultured bacterium. Its description in RNAcentral is "bacterial SSU rRNA". It matches the Rfam family "Bacterial small subunit ribosomal RNA". The record is from RNAcentral.
AGAGUUUGAUCAUGGCUCAGAACGAACGCUGGCGGCGUGCCUCAUACAUGCAAGUCGUACGGUGUUUUCGGCCGCAAGGUUGAAAGCGCCGUGGCAGACGGGUGCGUAACACGUGGGUAAUCUUCCUUUAUGUUUGGCAUAAACCCUCGAAAGGGGGUCUAAUUCCGAAUAACGUUUUUGGCCGGCAUCGGCCGAAAACCAAAGAUGGCCUCUACUUGUAAGCUAUCACAUAGAGAUGAGCCCGCGCCCGAUUAGUUAGUUGGCGGGAUAAAAGCCCACCAAGACGUCGAUCGGUAGCCGGCCUGAGAGGGUGUCCGGCCACACUGGGACUGAGAUACGGCCCAGACUCCUACGGGAGGCAGCAGUAGGGAAUAUUGCGCAAUGGCCGCAAGGCUGACGCAGCAACGCCGCGUGGGGGAUGAAGGUUUUCGGAUCGUAAACCCCUGUCGAGAGGGACGAAAGGUCAAUGGGCAAAUAGCCCUUUGGCUUGACGGUACCUUUAGAGGAAGUUCCGGCCAACUUCGUGCCAGCAGCCGCGGUAAUACGGGGGGAACAAGCGUUGUUCGGAAUUACUGGGUUUAAAGCGCGCGCAGGCGGAAUGGCAAGUCCGGAUGUGAAAGCCCCCGGCUCAACCGGGGAAGUGCACUGGAAACUGCCGUUCUAGAGUGCGGAAGAGGAAAGUGGAAUUCACGGUGUAGCGGUGAAAUGCGUAGAUAUCGUGAGGAACACCGGUGGCGAAGGCGGCUUUCUGGUCCGCAACUGACGCUCAGGCGCGAAGGCUAGGGGAGCAAACAGGAUUAGAUACCCUGGUAGUCCUAGCGGUAAACGUUGUGCACUAGGUGUGGGGCCCCGACGAGGGGCUCCGUGCCGCAGCGAAAGCAUUAAGUGCACCACCUGGGGAGUACGGCCGCAAGGCUGAAACUCAAAGGAAUUGACGGGGGCCCGCACAAGCGGUGGAGUAUGUGGUUUAAUUCGACGCAACGCGAAGGACCUUACCUGGGCUUGACAUGCUUAGGACCGGAGUGGAAACAUUCCUUCCCCGCAAGGGGCCUUUGCACAGGUGCUGCAUGGCUGUCGUCAGCUCGUGCCGUGAGGUGUUGGGUUAAGUCCCGCAACGAGCGCAACCCCUUUUCUUAGUUGCCACCGGGUUAUGCCGGGCACUCUAAGAAGACUGCCCCGGGUAACGGGGAGGAAGGCGGGGAUGACGUCAAGUCCUCAUGGCCCUUACGUCCAGGGCUACACACGUACUACAAUGCCCGGCACAACGGGAGGCAAGACCGCAAGGUGGAGCCAAUCCUACAAAGCCGGGCUCAGUUCAGAUCGCCGUCUGCAAUUCGACGGCGUGAAGUUGGAAUCGCUAGUAAUCGCGGAUCAGCAGGUCGCGGUGAAUACGUUCCCGGGCCUUGUACACACCGCCCGUCAAGCCAUGGAAGCUGGAGGUACCCGAAGUUGCCGCGAGGCACCUAAGGUAAAACCAGUGACUGGGGCUAAGUCGUAACAAGGUAACCGUA